GGGCCCGCACAAGCAGCGGAGCGUGUGGUUUAAUUCGAUGCAACACGAAGAACCUCACCCAGGCUUGACAUACAAGAAGUAGUGAACCGAAAGGGGAACGAACUGUUAAGUCAGUCGCUUGAACAGGUGCUGCAUGGUUGUCGUCAGCUCGUGCCGUGAGGUGUUGGGUUAAGUCCCGCAACGAGCGCAACCCUCGUUGCCAGUUGUUUUCUCUGGCGAGACUGCCCCGCAAGACGGGGAGGAAGGUGGGGAUGACGUCAAAUCAGCACGGCCCUUAUGCCUGGGGCUACACACACGCUACAAUGGGCGGUACAAUAGGUUGCAAUGGGGUGACUCGGAGCUAAUCCUAAAAACCGUCCCCAGUUCAGAUUGUAGGCUGAAACCCGCCUGCAUGAAGUCGGAGUUGCUAGUAAACGCAUAUCAGCAUGGUGCGUUGAAUACGUUCUCGGGCCUU
Molecule: ribosomal RNA, 454 nt
Filed under: uncultured bacterium
Lineage: Bacteria
Description: bacterial SSU rRNA
Rfam family: Bacterial small subunit ribosomal RNA
Source: RNAcentral